GAUGAACGCUGGCGGCGUGCCUAAUACAUGCAAGUCGAGCGAACAGAUGAGGAGCUUGCUCCUCUGACGUUAGCGGCGGACGGGUGAGUAACACGUGGAUAACCUACCUAUAAGACUGGGAUAACCUCGGGAAACCGGAGCUAAUACCGGAUAAUAUAUUGAAUCGCAUGGUUCAAUAGUGAAAGACGGUUUUGCUGUCACUUAUAGAUGGAUCCGCGCCGCAUUAGCUAGUUGGUAAGGUAACGGCUUACCAAGGCAACGAUGCGUAGCCGACCUGAGAGGGUGAUCAGCCACACUGGAACUGAGACACGGUCCAGACUCCUACGGGAGGCAGCAGUAGGGAAUCUUCCGCAAUGGGCGAAAGCCUGACGGAGCAACGCCGCGUGAGUGAUGAAGGUCUUCGGAUCGUAAAACUCUGUUAUUAGGGAAGAACAAAUGUGUAAGUAACUAUGCACGUCUUGACGGUACCUAAUCAGAAAGCCACGGCUAACUACGUG
This 497-nucleotide ribosomal RNA is filed under the name uncultured bacterium. RNAcentral's name for it is "partial 16S ribosomal RNA". It matches the Rfam family "Bacterial small subunit ribosomal RNA", at positions 28 to 507 of the family's 1533-position model. The record is from RNAcentral.